This 203-nucleotide long non-coding RNA is filed under the name Gossypium raimondii (Peruvian cotton). RNAcentral's name for it is "long non-coding RNA (GRAI_LNC008438)". Lineage: Eukaryota; Viridiplantae; Streptophyta; Magnoliopsida; Malvales; Malvaceae. The record is from RNAcentral.
GUGAGAAACGACAAUGACACUUUCUUGGCAAUCUUCGGGAUCAAUCUUAGAGUUCAAGAUUUCAGAUUUGGUGGUGAUUUUACUGAGGAAAAAUGAGAGGAGUAUAGUGGAGAAUAUGUUAACAAAUAUUGAGGCAAAAAGAAAAAGAAAGAGAUAGUAAAACUCAGCGUAGGCGACGACAACAAUGGAGAAAGGAAAAGAAA